Cuculus canorus (common cuckoo) is the source of this 5240-nucleotide long non-coding RNA. RefSeq lists it as uncharacterized. The transcript is spliced from 3 exons. The record is from RefSeq and is a predicted model, not a curated record. Lineage: Eukaryota; Metazoa; Chordata; Aves; Cuculiformes; Cuculidae.
CCAGGAGAGAGACAGUUGCAGACAAGAGGAGGACCAGCAGUGCACGACCUGGAAAACAAGCAAGCAACACUAGGUUCAGCUCUCCAGCCCUAGCAGGCAAGCUAUCGGCAUGCACAAGCCGGAAAAAAACUCUCCUAGGACACCCAAAGUUUUCCAACUACAAAACCAUGAUGCCGAGUUUCCCCAAAAGGCAGGAGGUUAUGUGUAUUCACACAACCUACCAGGCCUGCACACAUCCACUGACCGCAGAGGCACUCACUUGGGCUGCAGAACUGUGAAAACAGAACUUUGUUAACAAAGGUAGCUCAGCUGGAAAGCCAAAGAAAGUCUACUAGGAGAGGAGUGACUGCUGAAAGAAAGAGAGCAGCAUGACUGAGUUUGUACUCCUACCUUUCUCUUUUGUGGCAAAAUACGAAUCAGCCUCUCAAGCUUAUCUCCUUCCCCCAGCACAGCAGUCCAUUAAGCAAAGCAUUUCAGUAUCCAACUUCCCUUGUAAUUAACAUUCUUUUUCUGCUCAGUGGAACAGAAACCUUCCUGCUGGCUACUGCAUAAAAGACACUGGGACGGAAGAUUUUUUUUCUGAGUCUGAGGCUAGAUUCAUGUAUCCCAAAGUCUAGUUCGUGAAACAAUGAUUUUACAGAACCGGAUAUGCCUAUAACUGCUUUCAAAACUCUUUAACACAGUGCAAGCAUUCUCUCUUUGUGCUGUUCAUGCCAACUGUGGUUGCUGGGCAGGUUGCACUGCAGUGAAGUACGUGUGUUUGCAGCAAACCAUAUGCAAUAUUCAGGAAUCCCAGCUGGUGCAGGGACCAGCACAGGGAAGAUGUGCUGCAACUGGCUUGGGGCUGGGCUGGCACUGCCUUCCCAGAUCCAUGCAACAGGACUGCCGAUGGAGGGAACACACCGAUGACCAUAAACCUGCACUGCGAGCUGGGAUGUGACUGCAGCUUUUUGCUGCCGUACAGGGUCGAGAUGGGGGGAGGUCUGCAUUGGUGACCGUGGUGCCUGCGGUGCCGACACACCCCUGUGACACAGGCCAAAGUAAGCAGGUUGGGUGAAGAAUGAGGAUCACGUGAUAUUUUUUUCAAAGAUCUUUUUCAGUCAUUCCACUUGUUAACUUAACGACGCAUUUGAGAGUAAUAGUUAAAGAAUCAUUAUUCUUUGUAGGGGAUUAUAUAUCAUGUCUCUGCUCUGGAGGCCAGUGGUGCCAACUCGGUUUUUUUUUCUCCAAAUCACAGUUUUGAGAUGCCUGAGAUGGGCAAUCGUGGAUCAUGCAUGUCCUUUCAGCUUUAGUCUGUUGGAUAUCUGGCCAGCAACAUGGGCAGCAGGGGAUUUUGUUUCUUCUCAAAGUCAUAGUGAGUAUUAAGCAUUUCAAAUCAUCUACCUAAUUUAUAGAUUAAAUAAAUGCUUCCUAUUAAUAUGUUCUAAUUUAAAUGGAAAGACACUAUUUAAAAAUACCUCGUUUAAAACCUUGUAUGUGAUACAGACACAUGGGUUCACAGAGAUCACACGCUUGGGGAAGAAUGGCUUCAGACAUGAACACCAGCUAACAGAAACCAAUGGUGUUCAUGGAAGGAGCAUUACAGUAUGAUUUGUAAUGCAUGUUAAAGUAAUUCAUGUUAAAGUAUUUUAAACAGCUCUGAAAUCACGACCAGCUCUUAUGACAGAGGGAGAAAUGACUGCAAUUUUCCCCUUUCCCCAAGACCCUGCAUAUGAGGCCAGUUCACAGUGGGCAGCAGGCACUACAGCCCCAUGUCUGGGCUCAUGUUCCAUGUUUUGGGAACACAAGAGGAUGCUGGGAAUGCAGUGUGAUCUUACCUGUGAGCUCUGCCCCCCACAGCUUCUCCCUGGAGCUCAAGCCUUUACAUUUUGUGUGUUCUGGGUUAUGAACUGGAGGAGGUGUGAUCCACCUGUGGUUCCCCACCACACCAGGUGGAGAGCCACAGGGGAGCUGUAGCCUUCAGCAGCUGCUGGGCAAACCUGCUCUUGGCUGUGUGGGCUGCAGUUUGCCUGAGCAAUUCCUUCCUUCUCAAAUGAUUUCAGCGUGAGAAGGAAGAAAUGAUAUUUUUCUCUAUAGUCACUCUGCAUUUGUUUAUCUGCCACCCCACCAUCUUCUGGAGGCUUCCUGUUCUCUGGCAGGGCAAUAAACAUUAUUAGCACACACAGCAGGAGGUGAGGGCUAGGAAGUAUAGGCAGAGCUUUACGGAAUGUUUGCAAAAGGUGGGCAAAAAGAUGAUAUCAGUGUGUACAGAAAUGCAGCUGUUGUGUCGAUGCUGUGCGUGUCUGGGGGCUAUGGUCCUCUGAAAGGAAGGGCCCGAAGGACGUGAUGUCAUCCAGAGGGACCUGGCCAGGCUGGAGAAGGGGGCCUGUGAGAACCUCAUGAGGUUCAACAAAGCCAAGUGUAAGGUCCUGCACCUGGGUCGGGGCAAUCCCCGUUUUCAGUACAUGAUGGGGGAUGACGUGCUUGAGAGCAGCCCUGCAGAAAAGGACUUGGGGUGCUGGUCAAUGAGAAGCUCGACGUGGGCUGGCCAUGUGCGCUCGCAGCCCAGAAGGCCAACCGUAUCCUGGGCUGCAUCAAAAGAAGUGCAGCCAGAAGGUUGAGGGAAGUGAUUCUGCCCUUCUAAUCCUCUCUUGUGAGACCUCAUCUGGAAUACUGUGUCUGGUUCUGGAAUCCUCAACGUAAGAAGGACAUGGAACUGCUGGAACGGGUGCAGAGGAAGGCUACAAAGAUGAUCGGAGGGCUGGAGCACCUUCCCUAAGAGGACAGGCUGAGAGAGUUGGGCUUGUUCAGCUUGGAGAGAGAAGGCUCAGAGGAGAUCUUAUAGCGACCUUCCAGUACAUGAAGGGGCUACAGAAAAGCUGGAAAGGGACUAUUCAUAAAGGCUUGUGGGUAUAGGACCAGGGGGAAUGGGUAUAAACUGGAGAGGGGGAGAUUUAUACUGGGCAUUAGGAAGAAUUUCUUUGCCAUGAGGGUGGUGAGACACCGGCACAGGUUGCCCAGGGAGGUUGUGGAUGCCCCAUCCCUGGAGGUGUUCAAGGCCAGGUUGGAUGGGCCUUGGGCAGCCUGAUCCAGUGGGAUGUCCCUGCCCACAGCAGGUAGGUUGGAACUAGAUGAUCUUUACGGUCCCUUCCAACCCUAAGUAUUCUACAAUACUAUGAAAGAAAAAGGCAAAACCUGCUAUGAUGUAAAGCAGGGAUAGUUUGGGGGAAAAGUCGUCUUUUGAGGUUUUUCAAAUACAUCUUUCUUAUACAGUUUGUAGUUAAUGGGUAUUUUGGGCCUCUUGAUGCCCCUAGGAUCUGCAUGAGAAGAUCUGUAGGGUUUGGAUCCACCAGGACUGUCCCAUGCUUCAAAUCUGCUAGCAUGUUUCUAGUCUUGCUCCCUCCUGCAAUGCUUUCCCCCUCCUCUUGAGACUGUGUGUCUUGGCAGUGCCAUUUCACCAUCUGAUCCUUAUCUCGCUCUUGGCUGCUGGACUUGCGGAGCAUGAGGCGUGUUCCUGCUUUGCAGCCCAACAACACAUCUCCAGGGCUGAGCCACAGGAAUGCGCUUCCUGAAGAGCUCAGUGUUUGAAACAGCUGCCUGAAGAGCCUUAAAAAACACAAAUUAAAAUACAAAUAUAAGAGGAGGAAGAAGCCUGUACCAGAAAAAGGAAGACACAGUGUUCAGCAACCCUCAUCCCAUUCUCUAAUUACAAUUGACCCUUAGGGAAAGAUUUAGAGGACCAGCUCAAUUCAGUUAUUGAUGAGACUUAUAAUCCAAGAGCAGGUUCUGGUGUUAUAGCUGGCAGGGGCACACCCAGCUCUCCAGCCAUCUGCAUUUAUUGCCUGCUCACUUACAGCCCAGAGGGCAUUUUUAUUACUAAACCAGACUGUAUGAGUUUUCUUUCAUGUUAUCCUAAGCCUGGGGAUGUUCACUAGCAAUGCCAGUCAGUACUGGUGGUUGCCUGAUAGGUACCAUUUACUGCACAUUGUAAGGAUGCCUCCAGUAUGGCAGCCUGCGGUGACCCAGGGUGCUCCCGCGUCCCCGCACCCCUCUGAUGGGUGGCUGCUCCCCACAGCCCUCCUCCCACUGCCUGCCUUGCCCGUAUCAUCCGUAUCAACUUGGAGAAUUGGCCAAGACCCAUAAUUCUGAGCUGUGGUGGGAGUUAAAGCUGUGAAUUCACACACAGGAGGGUUUAUCUCUUUACCUACGCUUCAGAGGUUGAGGACACAACCCCAGAGCUAACAAGUGCCUUAGCUGGGCACAAGAAGGCCCCUGAGCCUUGAUGUAGCCCAAAUUCAGCCCUUUUCUAGUCUGUCCAGUGCUGAGGAUGGGAGCCUCCAUCCUUAAAUCAGCUGGAGUGUGAUGGGAGAGCUGCCUGCAGCACUGCAGCCUGCCUGAUGCUGAGGGAUCGGCAGGACAGCAGGCAGGAACCCAUGGGAUCUGUCUUGCUUUGCUGCACUGCUAUUUUAUUCUUUCAAUUACAUUGGUUGUAAAAGGAGAGUUUAUAAAUGCUUGUCAGCAGGAGAACAAAGUUACGUAAUUAAACAAUUUACCAGAGAGUCUGAGGCUUCAAUGCAAUUCUCUGGAGUGAUUUGAUAUUCCAAUAAAAAUACUGGGUGAUACCAUAAAUAUUGUAAAUGGCUCUAGAUGGUUUCCAAGGGCUAUGUCAACUGUUUAUUGCAUUAAAAAGAAAAAAAAAAUAAAAAAAUAAGUGAAAUCAAAGGGAAGACAAAAUUUAAAUAAAUAAAAUAAUGGGAAAAAUAAAGCAAAAAUAUUUUCAUUUGUAUUUUGAAAGCUCCGGAGGGUGGUUUUGGCCAGCAUGAGAGAAAACUGUCGGAUUUACCAGAAUAACAAACCAAGGGCAUCUGUAUGCACUUGCUCAUAGGUUAAAUAGGUAUGUCUGUGGGGUCUGCACGUGGAUGCUUAGAUAAAAUCUGCCCACAACACAGGGAAACCUCUUUGUUUAUAUGAUUGUUUGUGGCACUUGCAAAUUCCACCCAGGAAUGCCUUUCUUUCCCUAGCCAAACUGUCAGGCUCCUAGAGCCCUGUCGCAGCAAGGGCAGCUGAAGGAGGAUACCACAAGUGGGCAGAAUUGUGGGAUGGAUUACUUGUAUUAUUGAAAAUUUGGGAAGGUUGUUUAGAAGUUGUUAUUGAAGCAAGAUAAAUAUUUGCCAGGCACGAUCCCAUCAUGCAGUGACAAGUAAGCUGUAUGGAAUGUGUUAAUAAAAUAUAAAAGUUUGGAAAAGGAAACAAAUACUGUG